UCAUCUGUCAUUGGGGGUAUUCUGAAGGAAAGGAAGAGAAGCCUGGUUUACAUCUAAUCUGGGGAUCAGGCUGUUGUGUGAGGUAGUUCAGUGGCUGAUCAGGGCCGGGCAGCCAGAGCCACACGGUGAUGAGCUUCACAGAGCCUGUGAGUGAGUGUGGACUGUACUCAGUAGGUAGAGGAGAGUCCCUGGCAGCUGCCCAGACAAGGUGACUAUGCUGCUUAAGCUGCACUGUGAUCCUCACUACACGGACUUGCUGUCUGGACAACAUAACUAAAGCACAGUACUGACCUAGUCAUUCCCCUGCUCAAGACUCUCAGGGGCUUCUUGUGGCUGCUGAAUGAAGUCCGAAUUAUAUGCAAACCUGGGCUGCAAUGUGGAGAAUGGAUUGCAAGCAACAAGACUGACGGUAUAAGUAUCUGAGGCUACUAUACCACUUGUUGAUGAAAUGAAUAGUUGAAGCAGCCAGUUCAGCCUGUGAUAUAAGCAGCUUUAGAUAUCUUCCAGCGAUGUGCAGAGUGGACUCACCUGACAGACCAAGAGAAACUGCACUCCCGGAGAAGAGAAAUGCAUCUCCGGGAAGCUGAAGCCCCAGUAUGUAAAUUCUUGGCUCCUGGAGAGGAACCUGAGGUAGUGUAAUGGUUAAUAUUGAGUGUCAGUUUGAUUGGAUUGAAGAAUGCAAAGUAUUGUUCCCGGGUGUGUCACUGAGGCUGUUGCCAAAGGAGAUUAACACUUGAAUCAGUGGACUGGGAGAGGCAGACCCACUCUCAAUCUGGGUGGACACCAUCUAAGCAGCAGCCAGCACAGCUAGGAUAAAAGCAGGCAGAGGAACGUGGAAGGGCUAGACUGGCUGAGUCUACUGGGCUUCAUCUUUCUUCCGUGCUGGAUGCUUCUUGCCCUGGAACGUGAGACUCCAAGUCCCUCAGCUUUUGGACUCUUGGACUUAGACCAGUGGUUUACGGGGGCUCUCGGUGGCCACAGACUGGGUCUGAA
Long non-coding RNA from Piliocolobus tephrosceles (Ugandan red Colobus), 993 nucleotides. RefSeq lists it as uncharacterized. The record is from RefSeq and is a predicted model, not a curated record. The transcript has 3 exons. NCBI's taxonomy places the organism in Eukaryota, Metazoa, Chordata, Mammalia, Primates, Cercopithecidae.